This 63-nucleotide transfer RNA is filed under the name Scutigerella causeyae. Its description in RNAcentral is "tRNA-Cys". Lineage: Eukaryota; Metazoa; Arthropoda; Symphyla; Scutigerellidae. The record is from RNAcentral.
GGUCCUUUAUUUUAAUUGAAUACAAAAUUGCAAAUUUUGAGGUUGGUAGGACUUAAAGAAUUC